UGGGGAAUAUUGCACAAUGGGCGCAAGCCUGAUGCAGCGACGCCGCGUGAGGGAUGACGGCCUUCGGGUUGUAAACCUCUUUCAGUAGGGAAGAAGCGAAAGUGACGGUACCUGCAGAAGAAGCGCCGGCUAACUACGUGCCAGCAGCCGCGGUAAUACGUAGGGCGCAAGCGUUAUCCGGAAUUAUUGGGCGUAAAGAGCUCGUAGGCGGUUUGUCGCGUCUGCCGUGAAAGUCCGGGGCUCAACUCCGGAGCUGCGGUGGGUACGGGCAGGCUAGAGUGAUGUAGGGGAGACUGGAAUUCCUGGUGUAGCGGUGAAAUGCGCAGAUAUCAGGAGGAACACCGAUGGCGAAGGCAGGUCUCUGGGCAUUAACUGACGCUGAGGAGCGAAAGCAUGGGGAGCGAACAG
RNAcentral lists this ribosomal RNA (408 nucleotides) under uncultured bacterium. RNAcentral describes it as "bacterial SSU rRNA". It matches the Rfam family "Bacterial small subunit ribosomal RNA", at positions 355 to 775 of the family's 1533-position model. The record is from RNAcentral.